AGUGAACGCUGGCGGUAGGCCUAACACAUGCAAGUCGAACGGCAGCACAGUAAGAGCUUGCUCUUACGGGUGGCGAGUGGCGGACGGGUGAGGAAUACAUCGGAAUCUACUUUUUCGUGGGGGAUAACGUAGGGAAACUUACGCUAAUACCGCAUACGACCUACGGGUGAAAGCAGGGGAUCUUCGGACCUUGCGCGAUUGAAUGAGCCGAUGUCGGAUUAGCUAGUUGGCGGGGUAAAGGCCCACCAAGGCGACGAUCCGUAGCUGGUCUGAGAGGAUGGACAGGCCCACUGGGACUGAGACACGGUCCAGACUCCUACGGGAGGCAGCAGUGGGGAAUAUUGGACAAUGGGCGCAAGCCUGAUCCAGCCAUACCGCGUGGGUGAAGAAGGCCUUCGGGUUGUAAAGCCCUUUUGUUGGGAAAGAAAAGCAGCAGGUUAAUACCCCGCUGUUCUGACGGUACCCAAAGAAUAAGCACCGGCUAACUUCGUG
RNAcentral lists this ribosomal RNA (492 nucleotides) under uncultured bacterium. RNAcentral's name for it is "partial 16S ribosomal RNA". It matches the Rfam family "Bacterial small subunit ribosomal RNA", at positions 29 to 507 of the family's 1533-position model. The record is from RNAcentral.